AAUCCCAUAGGAUUUUAUUUUGUCCCAUGGGAUAUUAAAAAAUCCCAUGGGAUAAUAAUAUCCCAUGGGAUU
This 72-nucleotide small RNA is filed under the name Mytilus galloprovincialis (Mediterranean mussel). Lineage: Eukaryota; Metazoa; Mollusca; Bivalvia; Mytilida; Mytilidae. The record is from RNAcentral.